GUUACCUGAGUCUGCUCGUGGCGUUUUAUUAUACCUCACCAACGAGCGCUUCCACAAACUUGACAAAAGAGCAAUGUCAGUGUCUGACGGACAUGCAACCUGACGCGGAUAACAUACCCAGGGCUCAAAUGGAUAAUUUUACGAAGAAACUCAAGAUGGAUAUAUGUGACAACGGACCUGUUGUCCAUGAUGCCUGCAUUUUUCAUCACAUUGGGGAAAGGGAUGUAGGCCCAUGGCCUCAACAUUCUACAGAGCAGAAGGAGCUGAAUAGAGUACUUAUGCAUCUCCAGACGAUAAAGGAGAGCAAAGAGACAUGCAAGGGAAUCACAGUCAAGAAUCACAAGGCAAAGCAAAGUGAAAGCAAACACAGAAUCCGGCGCCGAGUCAAACGAUUUGUUG
Alosa sapidissima (American shad) is the source of this 399-nucleotide long non-coding RNA. RefSeq lists it as uncharacterized. The record is from RefSeq and is a predicted model, not a curated record. The transcript is spliced from 3 exons. NCBI's taxonomy places the organism in Eukaryota, Metazoa, Chordata, Actinopteri, Clupeiformes, Clupeidae.